RNAcentral lists this long non-coding RNA (287 nucleotides) under Capsicum annuum. RNAcentral describes it as "long non-coding RNA (CANN_LNC021234)". The record is from RNAcentral. Lineage: Eukaryota; Viridiplantae; Streptophyta; Magnoliopsida; Solanales; Solanaceae.
AAUCCAGGCGGAUAAAGUGGAUCGUCGACUUGGGCUUGAGUAGAACUGGGAUGAUUUGCAUCUGAAAGGCCAGGAAUCGAGGAAGGCGGGGCUUGUCCAUUUGCCCAGGCCUGAUACAUUUCCGCAAUUUGUUGCUUCAAUAACCUAUUCUCCUCCAAAGAUGCGAACUCUCGUGGGACUAACUGAUCUCGACCUUCUUCAUUAUCAGAUUCUGUUCCAUCUUUUCGAGUCAUCUUUCUUUUUCCUUUAUACCUUGUGUUGUACGGGUGAGAGGCCAGCUUAACCAC